RNAcentral lists this unclassified non-coding RNA (217 nucleotides) under root metagenome. RNAcentral describes it as "partial contains small subunit ribosomal RNA, internal transcribed spacer 1, and 5.8S ribosomal RNA". The record is from RNAcentral. RNAcentral also lists the same sequence under 1 other name.
UCUCCGUAGGUGAACCUGCGGAGGGAUCAUUACAAGUGACCCCGGUCUAACCACCGGGAUGUUCAUAACCCUUUGUUGUCCGACUCUGUUGCCUCCGGGGCGACCCUGCCUUCGGGCGGGGGCUCCGGGUGGACACUUCAAACUCUUGCGUAACUUUGCAGUCUGAGUAAACUUAAUUAAUAAAUUAAAACUUUUAACAACGGAUCUCUUGGUUCUG